UGUCACCCAGGCUGGAGUGAAGUGGUGUGAUCUCGGCUCACUGCAAGCUCCGCCUCCCAGGUUCACGCCAUUCUCCUGCCUCAGCCUCCCGAGUAGCUGGGACUACAGGUGCCUGCCACCAAGCCUGGCUAAUUUUUUGUAUUUUUAGUAGAGACGGGGUUUCACCAUGUUAGCCAGGAUGGUCUCAAUCUCCUGACCUUGUGAUCUACCCACCUCGGCCUCCCAAAGUGCUGGCAUUACAGGCGUGAGCCACCGCACCCGGCUGUAGUGAGACAAUUCUUAGUGGUACCCUAGAUAGCUUCAGGAUGGGGGUGGGUCUUCAGAAAGACUAAGACUUGAUUAGGAGCUUAGAACUUUCAGCCCUAUCCCCAACCUCUGGAAAGAAAGAGAUCCUAGAGAUUGAGUCAAUUUCAAUGGUGAAUUAAUCAGUUGUGCUUAUGUAAUGGAAUUGCCAUAAAACCCCCUGACCAAUAGCAUUCAGAGAGCUUCUGAGUUGGUGAAUACAUCCACAUGCCAGGAGUGUGGCAUACCACAACUCCUUGGGAAUAGAAGCUUCUCUCAGGAUCCUUCCGGACUUUACCCUAUGUUCACCCUCUUCAUUGGCCUAUUCAUUUGUCUUUUUUAUAAUAAACCAGUAAUAGAAAGUAAAGUGUGUUCUAGAGUUUUGUGAGCUAUUCUAGCAAAUUAAUGAACAUAAAAUAAGGGAGGAGGUGUUGUGGGAACCCCUUGACUUUGUAGCCAAGUCAGACAGAAGUAUGGUUAACCUGGGAACCUGAAUAACUUGUGACUGGCAUCUGAAGUGAGGGCAGUCUUGUGGGACUGAGCCCUUAAACCAGUGUAGUCUGACACUAACUCUGGGUAAUUAGUAUCAGAGUUGAAUUGAAUUGUAGGACACACAGUUGGUGUCUGAAGAGUUAGAGAAUGGUUGUGAGGCAUAAAAACAAAAACACCACACAUUUGGUUUCAGAAGUGUUGUGAGUCAAAACAGCUCAUAUUGGUGUCAGAAGUGGGAUUAGAAAGACCCUGAUUAUUUAGUGUCAGAAAAUUUAGGGUUCACUAGAAUGGUCCUAGCUAAUGGAAAAGUGGUUUGGGAAGAAAAAGGAUGAAAGGGUGGGAGAUACAGAACCUUUGAUUCCUGGGUGGUCAUGUGGUCACCCAUGAUAUGGACCAGCAUGACAGCUGUGCUGUUAUCAGUGACUAAAUUUAGUUACAAAUGGAAUUUGGAGGUGGAUCUAACUGCUGAGGAAUUGGUUCAUUGGAUGCAUAAGGAAAUGUAAAUGAAUAGGAAAAGUGCAGAAUAUAUAACUCCUUGGUUUUUGUUAUAUCUGUAAUAGCUAAAGUGAAAUUAAAAGAGUGCUGGAUGGACUUUGAUGCUCAACCAAACUCAGAUUUUGGUCAGUCUGAACUUUGGCCACUAGCCUUGAAGCUGCCCUCAAAGGGUAGAAUUAUGUGGAGACAACAAAGGGUACCUCUAAGACCUCUGGUCACUAAGAAAGUGGUGUGUGUAGGGGGAAGGUACAACCAAUAAACUAUUGAAACCAGGGGGGAUAGUGUGGAAGAGUUGUUGCAUUUGUAGAUCAAUAUCAGCUUCCUGAAAAACCCUUACUUAAGUGGAUUCUGAGAGUAACUGAUUUAGAGACAGUAUCUUUGGUUUUGAAUGCUGCAGAAUGGAAGAGCACGCCUGGGUUGACAGAGGACUCACUGCUCACUGUGGAACAAUCACAGAUGGCUAUAUCUGACACAGACACACAGCAGGUUAUUCCUGAAGAAACAACCAGCCUGGUGGACUGGAUAAAAGGCACUAUGAGGCACAGCCCCACAAAAGCAACUGCAGAAUAAAGAGGCUGCCCGACCCCAGUCCCAUGGAGAAGACUUGAGCUUGCUGAAUUAUAGACAGCAGGUGUCACUUUCACUCCAAGACUGGGCUCCCACCACCACUGAGAAAUCCUCCCCAGAGACAGAAGAAAAUACAAACCUCAAAUACUGAUAAUCUCUUUUAUUUUCUUUCAUCAUUCAAGUUUGUUCAGAACAUUACAAGAGGCAUGAAAGAAAAAAUAAUUCCAUUUUUAAAACUCUGUCUGUCCAAAGUAUAACAUAUGAAACCAUGCCAUUAUCUCUUAGGAAACAAAAGCAUUCAAAAUUAAUUUGGUAUUAAAGUUCAAGAUUCAGACCAACCUCAAAGUAUGGCAUGUGCAGUGUUUAAGUGCAAGAAGUAUUUUCAUUCCAAUUAUUUUACAGAGAUGCUGGAGUGACGUGUGCAAUUUGAAAUAUUCAAAUCCUUUAAGGUUUCUGAACUAAGUGUUUAAAUGAAAACUGAAAUGCUGCAUAGUUUCAGUGGCUUUCAAUUUCC
Long non-coding RNA from Gorilla gorilla gorilla (western lowland gorilla), 2350 nucleotides. RefSeq lists it as uncharacterized. The transcript has 2 exons. The record is from RefSeq and is a predicted model, not a curated record. NCBI's taxonomy places the organism in Eukaryota, Metazoa, Chordata, Mammalia, Primates, Hominidae.